Myiozetetes cayanensis is the source of this 248-nucleotide long non-coding RNA. RefSeq lists it as uncharacterized. Lineage: Eukaryota; Metazoa; Chordata; Aves; Passeriformes; Tyrannidae. The record is from RefSeq and is a predicted model, not a curated record. The transcript is spliced from 3 exons.
GCCACACCCUGUUAGUCUACUCCUGUGGGGGUGCGUGAGCGAACUUCGCUCACGCUCCUGGAGGUUCUUAUAUAGCCUCCCCCAGCACUUGCUAACGAGCCUGACCCACCCCUCACUCACCUUAAUUGGUUCUGAGGAAGAGUCAAGCCUGAGCAGCAAAAUGGCCGAGUAGUUCUCCUGGAGGUUCUUAUAUAGCCUCCCCCAGCACUUGCUAACGAGCCUGACCCACCCCUCACUCACCUUAAUUG